This 443-nucleotide ribosomal RNA is filed under the name uncultured bacterium. RNAcentral's name for it is "partial 16S ribosomal RNA". It matches the Rfam family "Bacterial small subunit ribosomal RNA", at positions 338 to 795 of the family's 1533-position model. The record is from RNAcentral.
CCUACGGGUGGCAGCAGUGGGGAAUAUUGGUCAAUGGGGGGAACCCUGAUCCAGCGACGCCGCGUGAGUGAAGAAGUAUCUCCGUAUUUAAAGCUCUUUUAGCCGGGAAGCAAGAAAUGACAGUCCCUGACUAAGAAGCCCCGGCUAAAUACGGGCCAGCAGCCGCGGGAAUCCGGCGGGGGCAGGCGUUAUCCUGAUUUACUGGGUGUAAAGGGAGCGUAGGCUGGGAUGCGAGUUCGGAGUGAAAGGCGGGGGCCCAAACCCUGGAGUGCUUUUGAAACUGUAUGGCUGGAGUGCGCGAGAGGUAAGCGGAAUGCGUAGUGUAGCGGUGAAAUGCGUAGAUAUUAGGAAGAACACCAGUGGCGAAGGCAGCUUACCGGCGGGUAACUGACGCUGAGGCUCGAAAGCGUGGGUAUCAAACAGGAUUAGAUACCCGAGUAGUC